This 368-nucleotide ribosomal RNA is filed under the name uncultured organism. RNAcentral's name for it is "bacterial SSU rRNA". It matches the Rfam family "Bacterial small subunit ribosomal RNA", at positions 526 to 896 of the family's 1533-position model. The record is from RNAcentral.
CGGAGGGUGCAAGCGUUAUCCGGAUUCACUGGGUUUAAAGGGAGCGCAGGCGGACCUGUAAGUCAGUGGUGAAAUACCUGAGCUUAACUCGGGAACUGCCAUUGAUACUAUCGGUCUUGAAUGUUGUUGAGGUUUGCGGAAUGGGUCAUGUAGCGGUGAAAUGCAUAGAUAUGACCCGGAACACCUAUUGCGAAGGCAGCAGGCUAAACAAAUAUUGGCGCUGAGGCUCGAAAGCGUGGGGAUCAAACAGGAUUAGAUACCCUGGUAGUCCACGCCCUAAACUAUGAUUACUCGACAUACGCGAUACACUGUGUGUGUCUGAGCGAAAGCAUUAAGUAAUCCACCUGGGAAGUACGACCGCAAGGUUG